This 368-nucleotide ribosomal RNA is filed under the name uncultured Anoxybacillus sp. Its description in RNAcentral is "bacterial SSU rRNA". It matches the Rfam family "Bacterial small subunit ribosomal RNA", at positions 1014 to 1382 of the family's 1533-position model. Lineage: Bacteria; Bacillati; Bacillota; Bacilli; Caryophanales; Anoxybacillaceae. The record is from RNAcentral.
CUGCCUUCGGGCAGACAGGGAAACAGGUGGUGCAUGUUGUCGUCAGCUCGUGUCGUGAGAUGUUGGGUUAAGUCCCGCAACGAGCGCAACCCUCGACCUUAGUUGCCAGCAUUCAGUUGGGCACUCUAAGGUGACUGCCGGCUAAAAGUCGGAGGAAGUGGGGAUGACGUCAAAUCAUCAUGCCCCUUAUGACCUGGGCUACACACGUGCUACAAUGGGCGGUACAAAGGGUCGCGAACCCGCGAGGGGGAGCCAAUCCCAAAAAGCCGCUCUCAGUUCGGAUUGCAGGCUGCAACUCGCCUGCAUGAAGCCGGAAUCGCUAGUAAUCGCGGAUCAGCAUGCCGCGGUCGAAUACGUUCCCGGGCCUU